AGUGAACGCUGGCGGCAGGCCUAACACAUGCAAGUCGAACGGCAGCACAGGAGAGCUUGCUCUCUGGGUGGCGAGUGGCGGACGGGUGAGGAAUAUAUCGGAAUCUACCCUUUCGUGGGGGAUAACGUAGGGAAACUUACGCUAAUACCGCAUACGAACUGAGGUUGAAAGCGGCGGACCGCAAGGCGUCGCGCGGAUGGAUGAGCCGAUAUCCGAUUAGCUAGUUGGCGGGGUAAAAGCCCACCAAGGCGACGAUCGGUAGCUGGUCUGAGAGGAUGAUCAGCCACACUGGAACUAAGACACGGUCCAGACUCCUACGGGAGGCAGCAGUGGGGAAUUUUGGACAAUGGGGGCAACCCUGAUCCAGCAAUGCCGCGUGAGUGAAGAAGGCCUUCGGGUUGUAAAGCUCUUUUGUCAGGGAAGAAACAGCAGCUCUAACACAGUCUGCGAAUGACGGUACCUGAAGAAUAAGCACCGGCUAACUACGUGCCAGCAGCCGCGGUAA
RNAcentral lists this ribosomal RNA (505 nucleotides) under uncultured bacterium. RNAcentral's name for it is "partial 16S ribosomal RNA". It matches the Rfam family "Bacterial small subunit ribosomal RNA", at positions 29 to 523 of the family's 1533-position model. The record is from RNAcentral.